RNAcentral lists this transfer RNA (58 nucleotides) under Rattus norvegicus (Norway rat). It matches the Rfam family "tRNA", at positions 8 to 63 of the family's 71-position model. From Rfam's summary of the family: Transfer RNA (tRNA) molecules are approximately 80 nucleotides in length. Their secondary structure includes four short double-helical elements and three loops (D, anti-codon, and T loops). Lineage: Eukaryota; Metazoa; Chordata; Mammalia; Rodentia; Muridae. The record is from Rfam by way of RNAcentral.
UGGUUCAGUGGUUAAGAACACUGGAUGUUCUUCUAGAAGACCUGGGUUCAAUUCCCAG